UUGUACAGGGGGAUAACAGUUGGAAACGGCUGCUAAUACCGCAUAAGAUCGCAUGAUAAAAACUCCGGUGGUAUAAGAUGGACCCGCGUUGGAUUAGCUAGUUGGUGAGGUAACGGCCCACCAAGGCGACGAUCCAUAGCCGACCUGAGAGGGUGACCGGCCACAUUGGGACUGAGACACGGCCCAGACUCCUACGGGAGGCAGCAGUGGGGAAUAUUGCACAAUGGGCGAAAGCCUGAUGCAGCGACGCCGCGUGAGCGAGGAAGUAUUUCGGUAUGUAAAGCUCUAUCAGCAGGGAAGAUAAUGACGGUACCUGACUAAGAAGCACCGGCUAAAUACGUGCCAGCAGCCGCGGUAAUACGUAUGGUGCAAGCGUUAUCCGGAUUUACUGGGUGUAAAGGGAGCGCAGGCGGUGCGGCAAGUCUGAUGUGAAAGCCCGGGGCUCAACCCCGGUACUGCAUUGGAAACUGUCGUACUAGAGUGUCGGAGGGGUAAGCGGA
This 500-nucleotide ribosomal RNA is filed under the name uncultured bacterium. RNAcentral describes it as "bacterial SSU rRNA". It matches the Rfam family "Bacterial small subunit ribosomal RNA", at positions 131 to 665 of the family's 1533-position model. The record is from RNAcentral.